Non-coding RNA from Zophobas morio, 72 nucleotides. The record is from the annotation of a RefSeq genome assembly. Lineage: Eukaryota; Metazoa; Arthropoda; Insecta; Coleoptera; Tenebrionidae.
GCCAGCUUAGCUUAGUGGUAGAGCAUCGCACUCGUAAUGCGAAGGUCAAGAGUUCGAUCCUCUUAGCUGGCA